GGGGUAUGGCGUUGCGGGAAACAUAAGGCUAGUUGACUUGUGAACACUGAUGAAGCGUUUCUAUUCCAGCUCCUUCUCUGAAGAUCUGGGUUGCAGAGGUGGAGAGUUUAGCAGAAAGCAUUAUGGAUCUGUGAAGCUUCUGCUCCAUCUAGUGAUGCUGAUGGAGCCAUUCAAAGAGCUGGAUGGUUCCGGGUGGAGAAUGGCUCCUCUGGUGAGAACUUUUUCAUCUGUAAAUACCAUCUUACUAUUGGAAGAAAGAAGACCUCAUCUUCUAGAAAUAUUUGUAAGAUCUUGGUAAAGUGCAUAUUGAACUAAUAAUCAGCAAACUGUUACUGAUCAUCUGCUUGCAUCAGCACUGGCUGCAGAGUUGAAAGGAAUCUAACUAUUCUGCAUUGAUUCUUUGAGGAGUCAUGUUUGGUCCUCUGACUUUUUAGCUCAGUUUCAUGCACUGCAAAAGCUCGUAUCAUGGGAAGAUUUGUCGAAUGGGUGACAAACGGCCACGUGGUGAAUGGAGAAUGAGUAUGGAGAAUGGCUUUUUCUUUGCAUGUUAAUUCAUAGUAGGAAAGGACUUGAGGGAUGCGUGGGAAUUUACCUUAAUUUAUGAGAAACAGCACUGAAGAGCUUCCAAAGCAUGCUUUGGUCAAGCAAGGAGACUUUGAGAUCAGUGAGGACCGGUGCUCUGUGCAGCAGAGCAGUUCUGGAGCCGCAACCGCUGCGGGCACGGCGCCGUGG
Molecule: long non-coding RNA, 732 nt
Organism: Hirundo rustica (Barn swallow)
Lineage: Eukaryota; Metazoa; Chordata; Aves; Passeriformes; Hirundinidae
Exons: 3
Source: RefSeq, a predicted model, not a curated record